Molecule: ribosomal RNA, 400 nt
Filed under: Proasellus vandeli
Lineage: Eukaryota; Metazoa; Arthropoda; Malacostraca; Isopoda; Asellidae
Description: partial 16S ribosomal RNA
Rfam family: Bacterial large subunit ribosomal RNA
Source: RNAcentral
AGCAUAAUCACUUGUCUUUUAAUUGGAGGCUAGAAUGAAGGAGGCGACGAAAUCUGGGCUAUUGGGUUAUAUUAUAAAAUUAACAUAAAGGUUAAAAGGCUUUUAUAAAUCAAAGGGACGAGAAGACCCUAUAAAACUUUACUGUAAAUUAAAUUAUUUAGACAAGAUUUAUAUUCACAUAGUUUAGCUGGGGCGGUUUAUAUAAAAACAAUUGAAGUAAUAAUAUAUUGAAUAAGAAUUGAGAACUCUAAAAGGAAAUGAACAAGUUACUUUAGGGAUAACAGCAUAAUUCUCCCAGAGAGUCCUAAUUGGCGGGAGAGCUUAUGACCUCGAUGUUGAAUUGGGGUGUCUAGUAUAAGUAGAAAUAUAUUAAGAUAGUCUGUUCGACUAUUAAAUUCCC